CCUACGGGAGGCAGCAGUGAGGAAUAUUGGUCAAUGGGCGGGAGCCUGAACCAGCCAAGCCGCGUGAAGGAAGAAGGUGCCAAGCGUCGUAAACCUCUUUUGUCGGGGAACAAAGACCGCCACGCGUGGCGUUGUGAGUGUACCCGAAGAAAAAGCAUCGGCUAACUCCGUGCCAGCAGCCGCGGUAAUACGGAGGAUGCGAGCGUUAUCCGGAGUUAUUGGGUUUAAAGGGUGCGCAGGCGGAAGAUCAAGUCAGCGGUAAAAUUGAGAGGCUCAACCUCUUCGAGCCGUUGAAACUGGUUGUCGUGAGUGAGUGAGAAGUAUGCGGAAUGCGUGGUGUAGCGGUGAAAUGCAUAGAUAUCACGCAGAACUCCGAUUGCGAAGGCAGCAUACCGGCGCUCAACUGACGCUCAUGCACGAAAGUGUGGGUAUCGAACAGGAUUAGAUACCCGGGUAGUC
This 459-nucleotide ribosomal RNA is filed under the name uncultured bacterium. Its description in RNAcentral is "partial 16S ribosomal RNA". It matches the Rfam family "Bacterial small subunit ribosomal RNA", at positions 338 to 795 of the family's 1533-position model. The record is from RNAcentral.